CCCUGCAGCCCAAGACUGGUUGCCCACUGAAGCUAAGCAGGGUUGAGCCUGGUCAGUAUCUGGAUGGGAGACCUCCUGGGAAAACUAGGCUGCUGUUGGAA
This 101-nucleotide ribosomal RNA is filed under the name Sinocyclocheilus rhinocerous. Lineage: Eukaryota; Metazoa; Chordata; Actinopteri; Cypriniformes; Cyprinidae. The record is from RNAcentral.